UGGGGAAUUUUGGACAAUGGGCGAAAGCCUGAUCCAGCAAUGCCGCGUGAGUGAAGAAGGCCUUCGGGUUGUAAAGCUCUUUUGUCAGGGAAGAAACGGUGAGAGCUAAUAUCUCUUGCUAAUGACGGUACCUGAAGAAUAAGCACCGGCUAACUACGUGCCAGCAGCCGCGGUGAUACGUAGGGCGCAAGCGUUAAUCGGAAUUACUGGGCGUAAAGCGUGCGCAGGCGGUUUUGUAAGUCUGAUGUGAAAUCCCCGGGCUCAACCUGGGAAUUGCAUUGGAGACUGCAAGGCUAGAAUCUGGCAGAGGGGGGUAGAAUUCCACGUGUAGCAGUGAAAUGCGUAGAUAUGUGGAGGAACACCGAUGGCGAAGGCAGCCCCCUGGGUCAAGAUUGACGCUCAUGCACGAAAGCGUGGGGAGCAAAACAGGAUUAGAUACCCUGGUAGUCCACGCCCUAAACGAUGUCUACUAGUUGUCGGGUCUUAAUUGACUUGGUAACGCAGCUAACGCGUGAAGUAGACCGCCUGGGGAGUACGGUCGCAAGGUU
RNAcentral lists this ribosomal RNA (548 nucleotides) under uncultured bacterium. RNAcentral describes it as "partial 16S ribosomal RNA". It matches the Rfam family "Bacterial small subunit ribosomal RNA", at positions 355 to 895 of the family's 1533-position model. The record is from RNAcentral.